AGAUCUAGCUUUAUUUCCUGUGGCGCCAUUUUAGCACUGCGUUGUUGCUCUGUCGUCUUUGGUACGUCGUUACUUUUACGCCUAGAUUUUUGUUUUUGAAUUUUCUUUCUUUCUUUUUUUUUAAUGCUACGAUUUGAAGACGGAUUGAAAUAACGUCGAGGACUUUUUUUUUUGCAGAAGACCAUAGUUUACCGGACCAAUCAGGAAUCCCUAAUGGUAACCAGAAGAAGAGGAAGACUUGUGACUAAAGGCGUGGACGCCAUGUGCUCAAGUCCUGAAGAAUGUGACAAUGCCUUAAACUUCGAAUCUACAAGUGCAAGCAAACACUCGUCACCAGAAAGUGAUUCAAAUGACUGGGGAUUGGACGAACUCCUGACGUCUGAUUUCAGCUGGGCUUUAGAAGAUGAAAUGCUUUCUCCUUUCCAAGACAUUGGUUUGCAAGAUCUAGGUUUAAAUGCAGAAGACAAGACUGAUCAGGAAUCUGAUGUGAGCAUAUCCCGCAGAAGAGGUUCAAGUCGUAGACAGAAACUACAGGACUUCUCUGGGUGCAACAUUAAUAAGAAUGCCCUGGCAGCCAGACUGAACCGGCUGAAGAAGAAAGAGUAUUUAAAUGGCUUAGAGCAGCGUGUUGGAUCUCUUACAUCUGAAAACCGGCUUCUCAAGCAGGAAAACACCAGCCUAAACAAGAGAGUGGAAGAGCUUGAAAAUGAGACUAGGUACUUGAGAGCUGUGUUGGCCAAUGAAAGCAUGUUGGGGCAGCUGUUGUCUAGAUUGAGCGGUGUGAACGGCAUGAAAUUUUCUACGUCGCUUUUCCAGGAACCCAGCGAGAACGACCACGAUUAUGCCAUGCCAAGGAAGAAAGUGAAGGUGGAGGACAAGGAUACAGCAGGUGGUGUCUGUCUGCACGUGGACAAAGACCACGUCUCUGUGGAAUUCUGCACUAAAUGUGCCGAGAGUGCAAGCGCAUCGCUUAAAAUUUUUCUUCUAGGUGCUUGGUCUGCCAUGUGGGGUGACUGGAGCUCAGAGCAUCCAUGACUACCAGAACCUAUGGUAAGGAUCAAGAUGUUGAAGACUGCACAGAAAUGAGUUUCUCCUGAGAUGUGCUGCAGUGUUCUGACACUUCACGGCACAGUAUGAACUUGUAAAUAAGCUUUGCUGUAAUUGAAGCUAACUGAAGAUUUGUUUAAUUCAACACUUUGGAUCAUGCUUAUGACGCAUGCAGUAGUUGGCUCUUGUCAACAGUAUAAAGGGUUAAUUAGUUCUUGUUGUAUAUUGUUUUAAAAUGAUGUAAAUAGGUGACUUUUCACAAAGGGUAUUUGUUGGUAUACAGAUAGAAGUGUAAAUGGUAUGGCUGAAGAGCUACGUAACCAAUUCUGACAAUUCUUUUUGUUCAAAUGGAACCCUUUGUGAAAUGUCACUCCUUUCCUGAAGAACAUUUUUCAUGGAGCCCCUUAUUUUUCUUUAUGCUAAAGUGGAUUUGCUGUGGGGAAAACUGAAGAAACGGGACCAGCAUCUUGCAACAUGGCCUGGUAAAAUUAAAAAGGUAGUACAAGAAGCAGUGUAAGUUAAAGUUUUUACUGCUACUCCAUCGUGCUGCAUUUUGUUUGAUAUUAAAAAAAUGCACUUUUCUAGCAUCAGUGUAGCAGGAGUUAAAGCUCCUGUCCUUUUGUGCCUGCCAGCAAACCAUUGCAGCAGACAGUUUCUUCAUUCUCCUCAAGUGUUUUCCUCUCUUUCCUAAGUGGAUAAAGAGUGGUAAUAAAGUGGUAUUCGUGCAUUGUAAUGGGCCACAAUCCAUGAACACAUGCUGUAGGUGUGGGAGAUCUUGCUUACAAAGAACCUGGGAUGGUCCAGACAUAGGAAGAUGCUUUCGUGCUGAUUUAAUCUGAUUGCAGGGCAUGAAUCUGAGUGAAUUGUUAAUUUGUUUUUUGAAUUUGUUUUGAUGCAGCAUUGUCAAUCAAAAUUGGCUAAUUGUCUGAGGAUGAAAACUCAAAAUACAAUGUUCACAUGUGGUAAUAUUUUGUUCUGCACCCAAGUCUGCUUCACCUGUUUAGUAAGUGAAACCCACUGAGGGUGAACUAUAUAUAAGAUCAAAUUAAACCUGCAUAAAUGCUGUGUAUGUGAAUGAACUAAAUAGAUAUUCACUUUUGUACAGUGCAAGUGAUUUCCUCUUUGCCAUAAAAGUGACAAAACUGUGUUAAAACUGCAGUUUAAUAUUUUGCUAGAUGUUGCAUUUUUUGCAGGUGCUUGAGUAAUACUACAUUCUCAAACAGCAAUUUUAUUACUGCCAAUUGCUGUGCUGUUUAGUCACCAGUAGGGGUGUGUUACUGGAUGCUAUAACUCUCCUCGUGGGUUGGUAGGUGGCACAAUUAGCAUUCCAAUUAAAUUUUAUUAAUGCUAAAUGAACCAUUUUGCAUAGUAUGCUAUGCAUAUAAAACUCAUAUGCGUGUGCAUGUAUCUUAUGAGAUGGUAAAGCAGUAUGUGCUUUUUCCACAGAUUAUGUGCAAUCUACUGUCUUCACUCCCAUUGUAGUUGCUGCACCAAGUUGUUCCAAUUUUGCAUAAGGUUCUGUGUUGAUAGACACAGUCAUGUCUUGUAAGCAACACUCAAUCGUUUUGAAGGAAGUCGAUACAAAUAAUGGUUUCUGGAUUUCCUGUUGCUUUGAUACUGUAAGUACUGUAUGAGGGAGAGAAUUUACAGAUUGGUUUAGAAGGUACUUAGGAAGCUGAAUUAAAAAUUGUUUAAAAUUGCCUUGCUUGCUAAUGCAUAUACCACCAGUUUUAGAAUUUCGUUACAAGUCUCCCUGAAAACACCUACAGCAAAAUUCCCAAUAACAUUGUAAAGUGCAUGAUUGGGAAUUCACAGUGAUUGAGAGUACUCAGAUACACAAAGAAAAUGUGGCCAUUAGCUUUUCCUGUUUUUUUUUUUUCCUUUUUUCUUUUAAGCCUACGUUUUUGAUAAUGCUGGGUUCAUAUUCUAUAUGUUGUCCUAACGUGUUUGUCGCUUGGUCAGUACUCGAUGCUUUAAACAUAAACCCUCCUGUUACUUUUCUCAUCCAAUGACCAGUUUACACACUCCGAUUCUAAGAGUUUAUUGGAUUAUGAUUACAUGUACUGUUUUACUAAAUAAGAAUAUUGUAAGGUAGCACAACGAUUCCCAGGUUUGAGAGUUCUGUAAAGGGUGGGUUGAGUAUUUAAAUUGGAGUUGAUUCUUAUUAACUGCACAGAAAAAUGGGAAGAAAUUUUCUAUGGAAGAAAUGAAGAAUUCUCCUUUUGAUUUGUUCAAAAUAUCAGACUUUAGGUUAUUAAUGAUGGUUAAUGAUGUGCUUCUGUUACACUAAAGAGAUUAAUAAAGUUAAUUUAUACAAAUUAA
Tachysurus fulvidraco (yellow catfish) is the source of this 3369-nucleotide RNA transcript. It is a transcript of the gene named CREB/ATF bZIP transcription factor, with no coding region annotated. The record is from RefSeq and is a predicted model, not a curated record. The transcript is spliced from 4 exons. NCBI's taxonomy places the organism in Eukaryota, Metazoa, Chordata, Actinopteri, Siluriformes, Bagridae.